This 461-nucleotide ribosomal RNA is filed under the name Sancus acoreensis. RNAcentral's name for it is "partial 16S ribosomal RNA". The stretch from base 1 to 265 matches the Rfam family "Bacterial large subunit ribosomal RNA", at positions 2270 to 2642 of the family's 2925-position model. The record is from RNAcentral. Lineage: Eukaryota; Metazoa; Arthropoda; Arachnida; Araneae; Tetragnathidae.
UAACUGGGGCAGUUAAUUAAUAAAAAUUUUAAUAAAGAUUAAGUACUAAAUAGANNNCCCAACANUAGUUGAUUACANUGAACAAGUUACUGUAGGGAUAACAGCGUAAUAUAUAUCUAAAGUUCUUAUUUUGAUAUAAGUUUGCGACCUCGAUGUUGAAUUNAUAUUACUUUCAAGCGCAAGAGCCUGAAAAGUGGGUCUGUUCGACCCCUAAAUAUAUACAUGAUUUGAGUUCAAAUCGGUGUAAACCAGAUUGGUUUCUAUCUAUUNUUAUUUGUGUCUUAGUACGAAAGGACCUGAAACAAUAUUAUAUAAUNAUUUAUAUGGCAGAAAAAUGCUUUAGAUUUAGGAUCUAAUUAUAAUAGAUUAUUAUACUCUAUUUAACUUGCCUAAUCUCUGUUAUUAGAAUCCUUAUCGCAGUAGCUUUUUAUACUCUCCUAGAGCGAAAAAUUCUAAGCUAC